AUUUAAGUGGAGGUAGCAUUUUGUACCUGCUUUUCUAUUUUACCUUCUGUCUCCUCAGUGUAGUGCACCUGUCUUCUGCCUAUAUUGUAGUAACUGUUGAUAUAAAGAACNGUAAAAUAGAAAAGCAGGUACAAAAUGCUACCUCCACUUAAAU
This 154-nucleotide microRNA precursor is filed under the name Marmota monax (woodchuck). The record is from RNAcentral. Lineage: Eukaryota; Metazoa; Chordata; Mammalia; Rodentia; Sciuridae.